GAUGAAGAACGUAGCGAAAUGCGAUAAGUAAUGUGAAUUGCAGAAUUCAGUGAAUCAUCGAAUCUUUGAACGCACAUUGCGCCCGUCAGUAUUCUGGCGGGCAUGCCUGUUCGAGCGUCAUUACGCCCCUCAAGUCCCCUGUGGACUUGGUGUUGGGGAUCGGCGAGGCUGGUUUUCCAGCACAGCCGUCCCUUAAAUUAAUUGGCGGUCUCGCCGUGGCCCUCCUCUGCGCAGUAGUAAAACACUCGCAACAGGAGCCCGGCGCGGUCCACUGCCGUAAAACCCCCCAACUUUUUAUAGUUGACCUCGAAUCAGGUAGGACUACCCGCUGAACUUAAGCAUAUCAAUACGGAGGA
Molecule: unclassified non-coding RNA, 356 nt
Filed under: soil metagenome
Description: partial contains 5.8S ribosomal RNA, internal transcribed spacer 2, and large subunit ribosomal RNA
Rfam family: 5.8S ribosomal RNA (bases 1-120)
Source: RNAcentral